AACGAACGCUGGCGGCAUGCCUAACACAUGCAAGUCGAACGAGACCUUCGGGUCUAGUGGCGCACGGGUGCGUAACGCGUGGGAACCUGCCCUUAGGUUCGGAAUAACUCCCCGAAAGGGGUGCUAAUACCGGAUAAUGUCUUCGGACCAAAGAUUUAUCGCCUUUGGAUGGGCCCGCGUUGGAUUAGCUAGUUGGUAGGGUAAAAGCCUACCAAGGCGACGAUCCAUAGCUGGUCUGAGAGGAUGAUCAGCCACACUGGGACUGAGACACGGCCCAGAAUCCUACGGGAGGCAGAAGUGGGGAAUAUUGGACAAUGGGAGAAAGCCUGAUCCAGAAAUGCCGCGUGAGUGAUGAAGGCCUUAGGGUUGUAAAGCUCUUUUACCCGGGAUGAUAAUGACAGUACCGGGAGAAUAAGCUCAGGCUAACUCCGUG
Molecule: ribosomal RNA, 433 nt
Filed under: uncultured bacterium
Lineage: Bacteria
Description: partial 16S ribosomal RNA
Rfam family: Bacterial small subunit ribosomal RNA
Source: RNAcentral